Molecule: ribosomal RNA, 1048 nt
Filed under: Salmonella enterica
Lineage: Bacteria; Pseudomonadati; Pseudomonadota; Gammaproteobacteria; Enterobacterales; Enterobacteriaceae
Description: partial 23S ribosomal RNA
Rfam family: Bacterial large subunit ribosomal RNA
Source: RNAcentral
GGCUAAACCAUGCACCGAAGCUGCGGCAGCGACACUGUGUGUUGUUGGGUAGGGGAGCGUUCUGUAAGCCUGUGAAGGUGUGUCGUGAGGCAUGCUGGAGGUAUCAGAAGUGCGAAUGCUGACAUAAGUAACGAUAAAGCGGGUGAAAAGCCCGCUCGCCGGAAGACCAAGGGUUCCUGUCCAACGUUAAUCGGGGCAGGGUGAGUCGACCCCUAAGGCGAGGCCGAAAGGCGUAGUCGAUGGGAAACGGGUUAAUAUUCCCGUACUUGGUGUUACUGCGAAGGGGGGACGGAGAAGGCUAUGUUGGCCGGGCGACGGUUGUCCCGGUUUAAGCGUGUAGGUGUGUGUUCCAGGUAAAUCCGGUUCACUUUAACACUGAGGCGUGACGACGAGGCACUACGGUGCUGAAGCAACAAAUGCCCUGCUUCCAGGAAAAGCCUCUAAGCAUCAGGUAACAUCAAAUCGUACCCCAAACCGACACAGGUGGUCAGGUAGAGAAUACCAAGGCGCUUGAGAGAACUCGGGUGAAGGAACUAGGCAAAAUGGUGCCGUAACUUCGGGAGAAGGCACGCUGACACGUAGGUGAAGUGAUUUACUCAUGGAGCUGAAGUCAGUCGAAGAUACCAGCUGGCUGCAACUGUUUAUUAAAAACACAGCACUGUGCAAACACGAAAGUGGACGUAUACGGUGUGACGCCUGCCCGGUGCCGGAAGGUUAAUUGAUGGGGUCAGCGCAAGCGAAGCUCCUGAUCGAAGCCCCGGUAAACGGCGGCCGUAACUAUAACGGUCCUAAGGUAGCGAAAUUCCUUGUCGGGUAAGUUCCGACCUGCACGAAUGGCGUAAUGAUGGCCAGGCUGUCUCCACCCGAGACUCAGUGAAAUUGAACUCGCUGUGAAGAUGCAGUGUACCCGCGGCAAGACGGAAAGACCCCGUGAACCUUUACUAUAGCUUGACACUGAACAUUGAGCCUUGAUGUGUAGGAUAGGUGGGAGGCUUUGAAGUGUGGACGCCAGUCUGCAUGGAGCCGACCUUGAAAUACCACCCUUUAA